Non-coding RNA from Candidatus Liberibacter africanus PTSAPSY, 73 nucleotides. Lineage: Bacteria; Pseudomonadati; Pseudomonadota; Alphaproteobacteria; Hyphomicrobiales; Rhizobiaceae. The record is from Rfam.
GGGGCCGUAGCUCAGCUGGUAGAGCGCCUGCUUUGCAAGCAGGAUGUCAGCGGUUCGACUCCGCUCGGCUCCA